Molecule: long non-coding RNA, 1653 nt
Filed under: Salmo salar (Atlantic salmon)
Lineage: Eukaryota; Metazoa; Chordata; Actinopteri; Salmoniformes; Salmonidae
Description: lncRNA (ENSSSAG00000082835.1, ENSSSAG00000096400.1)
Source: RNAcentral
CUCUCUCUCUCUCUCCUUUCAUGUGGUUUACGUGACAGGCCAUUACAGUCACCCUGUCUCUGGAGACACACACACAUGCUCAGUAUUCCAGCCAAUGUUCAAGGAUUCUUCAAAGCAUCAGGAGCCCGAGAAAACCACAGAGGUAGGACUGAGGUGCCCAAGCAUCGACCGGUUGAAGAACAGAGAACCAGCAGCCAGCAGUCUCAGACAGACAGAAAGAGAGAGACAGACAGACUACUACUGUUCGGAGCCACUGCACGCAACACAAUCAACCAUCUCCUCAACACAGCACACCCUGCACACACUUUAACAUGUAUUCCCUUUACAUAUGAUGUAAAGUUGACAUCCAGUUCCCACAGUGAUAUACAUUCACACCGAGGACAUGUUGCAGUUCACACCGAGAACAUGUUGCAGUUCACACCGAGGACAACUGGGACUCCUUCAUCUGAGCAGAACCUUGGAAGAAGAAACACUGCAGUGACCGCCAUGGAGACCUCUACACCUUUCUUAGCUGCCUACAAUACCUACAAGGGUGUCUGCAGGUUGUUAUAAAUACCUGCCCAAAUUAUUCUCCAGUCCAUAGAGAAAGUCUUCAACACAAUCCCAAGCUGCUUAAGACUCUGAGUAUACAGGACCCGUCUCCAAAAUCUAAUGGGGCUACUGGAAUCCAUAUAAAGCACGCCACAUAUAAUACAACCGGAAGGCUGCUGAAUCUGAAAUGCUUUAAAACAUGGCCAAGAAUAGACUGUAACUCCUCUGCCCACAUUUUGGAAGAUACUGGAUGGACAUCUAGAACAUGCAGUAAGGUGUCGGGGAAUCAGAUUAGACCAACAUUGAUUGGACAAUGAUUAUGAAAGAUAACAGAUAGAUUGAAUGGAUAUGCAGACCUUAUUAUAUGAUUAUCACAAGACAUGCUUCCACAUUGUUUUCUGCAUGUGGAGUUCUGAAUGCAUACAACAUUAUUUGUAUUUCUUUCAUUCAGCUAGUGUUUCUAACUUGCAUGAUUCAGUAGGUAAGACUUAAUUUAGAACACAAGUUUCCCUACUCCACAGACAAACAAGCCGUUUCAAAGGCAAAAUGCUAGCCCUGAGUCUCAGUGGAACUGAGCCGGUACCGAGAGACUGCACAUCUCACCUCAACCGUACAGACUGUAUUCACUCUGUCUGCUCAGAUGAAGUAAAUAACCUCUAAACUGUCUGGCUGGGUAGAAAAUGAAUUGUAUUCUUGGUUCAGCAUUAUUUCUUGUUAUAGUCAGUAUCGAAAUAUAAUUACAGUGGAACACCCACACAGUCUGACAUUUUAUUGUUACCUAACCCACCAUUACGAUGUGCCCUUUGCCGCCUUGGAAAAAACAACAGCAAAACACCACCUUUUGAAAUAAAGGCAGUAAAUAAUUGAAGUCACUAUAUCUGCACAUUUCCACUAAAUCUCUAGCAGCACCUAGAGGUCAUUGAGGCAUUACAUCACCUGCGUCACGCUGCCUUGGACCAGACAUGUGAAAUACAUGUGGUGUGUGAUAACAAUCAAGAUUUGUCUGGGACUAUGUGAGGUCAAGCACCCUUUAUAAUUGGCCUCUAACAAACUGGUGUAGAGAGAGCGUAUCCAUGUAAAGGGCGCAACCAGGAAAUGGUACAGUCAUAUUCUUUAGGCUAC